AUUGUGGGAAGCAGCCAUGGUCUAAGCCGGGCGCCUCACCUGUCAGCCGCACCGGCUCCAGCGCUCGCCUCUCGCCCUCGCUUCUCCAGCGCUCCUUGCUCGCAAGGCGGGGGAGGCGGCGGCCCAGCCACGAUGAUACAUUUCAUAUUGCUCUUCAGUCGACAAGGGAAAUUACGGCUACAGAAAUGGUACAUCACUCUCCCUGAUAAAGAGAGGAAGAAGAUCACCCGGGAAAUUGUUCAGAUUAUUCUCUCCCGUGGUCACAGGACAAGCAGUUUUGUUGACUGGAAGGAGCUAAAACUUGUUUAUAAAAGGUAUGCUAGUUUAUAUUUUUGCUGUGCAAUAGAAAAUCAGGACAAUGAGCUCUUGACGCUAGAGAUUGUGCAUCGUUACGUGGAGCUGCUGGACAAAUAUUUUGGAAAUACUUGGCCUUUUGCAAGAGCCUGAAGAAGUUUCCUUGAGGUCUGUGAGCUGGAUAUUAUCUUUAAUUUUGAAAAGGCUUAUUUCAUCCUGGACGAGUUUAUAAUAGGUGGGGAAAUUCAGGAAACAUCCAAGAAAAUUGCUGUCAAAGCCAUUGAAGACUCUGAUAUGUUACAGGAGACAAUGGAAGAAUACAUGAACAAGCCUACAUUUUAACUGGAAAUCUACUUGAAGACUCCAGCACUACAUGUUAUGAAGCUGUAAAUAAGCAACGCCUCCCAUCCGGUUUUUUGAUGGAGCCUCAGGCACCAUGCCAAAAAUAAUUUAAAGGGAUUCUUUGUUAACUAACAAAGUUAAAGUUGUUUAACAUAUUUAUAAUUACUAUGUGUCUGUAUUAUUAAAAAAAAUUAUGUGUCUGUGUUAUACUGUAUAGGUACUUGUAGCUCUAAAUGUUUAAAGUAACUACCACCUAACCCAACAGACAAUAUUUGUAAUGUAUUAACUCCAUGUUAUGUUUUUAAGCUGGUUUAGAUACAUUAGCUGCAAUUUUUUUUGCAUUUGACACAAUAUUGUAAUAAUCCAUGAUUUUGAAUGUAAAGUAUAUAUGAUGUCAUUAAUACUUUUUCUAAAUGUUUAGUUUUCUAAAUUGUAUAAUAAUUCAAAAUUAUGUUAAUAGUGCAGAGUUUAUAUGUAAUGCUAGACAUUUUUCAUACACUUAAUAGUACUGUAACUGCAAUUCACAUACAAAAUGUCUGAUUUUAAUGUGCUGAAUUCAUUUAUUUUUUUUAGAAUUGGGAUUAUGAAAAUAACCAAAGAGUAUAGAACUUAAUAAGUGUUUUUGAUGCCUUAGAAGCUGCUAUCUUGACUGAGGUUUUAAUUUAUCUUUUAAUUGAAUAUAAGGGACAUUCCAAUAAGGUUUUCUAUGAACUAUAUAUUUAUUAAGGUUUAUAGAGACCUAGAGAUACAGCAUCUAUGACUUCCUUUAUUAUUCUAAAAUAGUAUGAUAAGAAUUAAUAGCAAUAAUAAUUAUUGCUACUAUUUUUUAAAAUUCACGUUCCAAGCACUCUUAGAUGCUGGAAAUUUCAUUUCAAAUAUGUUUUAAUGUAUCUCUAAUGCAUUUGAAGACUUAUUACAUGGCUUACUUAGAGCAUUUAAGAUUAUCACAGCCUAUAUGGUAGAUUCCUUUCCUUCUUUUUUCUUUUCUUACCCUUUCCUCCCCAAAGAAAAGAUUUGCUGCUGACCAUUAUUACUGUAAGUAUAUCACAUUUGUGCUUCCUGGAAUGAAAAUUCUGUAUAACCAGGUCCUAACAGUGAUCAGACAUAUUACAGGGAAAUAGCUUGUAGGCCGGGAGUGGUGGCUUACACCUGUAAUCCCAGCACUUUGGGAGGCCGAGGCAGGUGGAUCACUUGAGGUCAGGAGUUCGAGAGCAGCCUGGCCAAUAUGAUGAAACCCCAUCUCUACUAAAAAUACAAAAAUUAGGCCGGGUACAGUGGCUCAUGCCUAUAAUUCCAGCACUUUGGGAGGCAGAGGUGGGCGGAUCACAAGGUCAAGAGAUCAAGACCAUCCUCGCCAACAAGGUGAAACCCCACCUCUAUUAAAAAUACAAAAAUUAGCCGGGAGUGGUGGUGCGUGCCUGUAGUCCCAGCUACUUGGGAGGCUGAGGCAGGAGAAUCGCUUGAACCUGGGAGGCAGAAGUUGCAGUGAGCUGAGAUUGUGCCACUGCACUCCAGCCUGGGCGACAGAGCGAGACUUCGUCUCAAACAAACAAAAAAAUUAGCCGGGCAUGGUGGCAGGUGCCUGUAAUCCCAGCUACUCAGGGGGCUGAGGCAGGGGAAUGGCUUGAACCCAGGAGGCAGAGGUUGCAGUGAGCCAAGGUCAUACCAGUGCACUCCAGGCGGGUGACAGAGCAAGACUGCGUCUCAAGAAAAAAAAAAAAAAAAAGAAAAAGUAAAAGCUUGUAGUAUUCUGUCUUGCUGCCUGCUAUUUGAUGUUUUACCUGUGCAUUUUCAAUGUUAGCUUUGAGGUCUGGUAUCAUUCAUAUUAGAGUGGUUUGGGACCUCCAGUGAUUUCCUAGAAGAGUGUGUUUCCUGUUGGAUUCUUUAGGAGAUCCCAUCUGGUAGAUUUUUAGAGAACUCGAUGGAAAAAUGUUCUCUUUAGUUCAUCUCAGCAGACAUAUUUAGGGAAAACAGCAAAGCAAGCAGGAGAACAAAGGGAAAAAUUCACCAAUUCCUCAAUAUAACCAUUGUUCAAAGGAAAUAACUCAGAUUAGCAUAUAAAAUAAUCAUUAGGCUUUUACUAUCCAAUAUUUCUUCAGGUUACCAUGUAAUUACAAUUAUGGCAUCAGCUUGAAGUUUAUCAUGUAUGAUUGACCACUGUGUUUACUUUAGCUAACCUUCAGUUUUGUGGUUUAACUUUUUAAUGUGUUAGAAUUUUUUCUUUCUUUUUUUCUUUCUUUCUUUCUUUUCUUUCUUUCUUUCUUUUCCUUCCUUUCUUCCUUCCUUCUUCUCUCUCUCUCCUUCCCUCCCUUCCUUCCUUCCCUUCCUCCCUCCCUCCUUUCUUUCUUUCUUUUUCUCUUUUCUUUUCUUUUCUUUCUUUUCUUUCCUCGCUUCUUGUCACCCAGGCCAGAGUGCAAUGGUGUGAUCUCAGGUCACUGCAGCCUCCGUCUCCUGGGUUCAAACGAUUCUCCUGCCUCAGCCUCCCGAGUAGCUGGGAUUAUAGGCAUGCGCCACCACGCCUGGCUAAUUUUGUAUUUUUGGUAGAGUUGGGAUUUCUCCAUGUUGGUCAGGCUGGUCUUGAACGCCGACCUCAGGUGAUCCGCCCGCCUUGGCCUUCCAAAGUGCUGGAAUUACAGGCAUGAGCCGCUGCACCCGGCCAAAUUCUUUAUUUUUCAAUACAAUUUUGUAAAGAUGGACCUCAUGUAAAUCCAUCAUAGUUUUUCCGGUUCUUUUGAAAUUUGUCACCAUAUUUGGAUAAAGGUAUCUCUUGAACCUCAUUCAAAUAUACUACACAUGUUCUGGAUAAUUCCAUAUUAGACACUUUAGUUAUGGACAGGGCUUCUCAGACUUCAAUCAGUGUCACACAUAGAAAGUAAAUAUAUCUCUUCUGGGCAAGGUGGCUCACGCCUGUAAUCCCAGCACUUUGGGAGGUCAAGGCGGCAGAUCACCUGAGGUCAGGAGUUCGAGACCAGCCUGGCCAACAUGGUGAAACCCUGUCUCUACUAAAAAUUCAAAAAUUAGCCAAGUGUGGUGGCACAUGCUUGUAGUGCCAGCUACUCAGGAGGCUGAGGCAGGAGAAUCGCUUGAACCCGGGAGGCAGAGGUUGCAGUGAGCUGAGAUCACGCCACUGUACUCCAGCCCGGGUGACAGAGUGAGACCCUGUCUCAAAAAAAAAAAAAAAAAAAUGAAAGUAAGUAAACAUAUCUAUAUGGCACAGUGGGGUAAAUUUGAGGGAUUUUAGGGACAUCUUCCAUGGGCCUAGGCUAAAAUAGUCAUUGUGUUUUCUUUAUAUUAUAUAAUUACUAUAAAACUACCAAGAGAAAGACAGUAAAUGUUAAAUUUCUAUAAAACUUCCAAAAUAAAAUGUUUUAACAUGUUUUAAUGAGGAA
Molecule: RNA transcript, 4025 nt
Organism: Homo sapiens (human)
Lineage: Eukaryota; Metazoa; Chordata; Mammalia; Primates; Hominidae
Gene: AP1S3
Gene name: adaptor related protein complex 1 subunit sigma 3
Exons: 6
Source: RefSeq, marked reviewed